GACGAACGCUGGCGGCGUGCCUAAUACAUGCAAGUCGAGCGGACUGAUUAAGAGCUUGCUCUUAUGACGUUAGCGGCGGACGGGUGAGUAACACGUGGGCAACCUGCCCUGUAGAUCGGGAUAACACCGAGAAAUCGGUGCUAAUACCGGGUAAUAUCUGAGAUCACAUGAUCUUAGGUUAAAAGAUGGCUCCGGCUAUCACUACAGGAUGGGCCCGCGGCGCAUUAGCUAGGUGGUAAGGUAAUGGCUUACCAAGGCGACGAUGCGUAGCCGACCUGAGAGGGUGUUCGGCCACACUGGGACUGAGACACGGCCCAGACUCCUCCGGGAGGCAGAAGUGGGGAAUCUUCCGCAAUGGACGAAAGUCUGACGGAGCAACGCCGCGUGAGUGAUGAAGAGUUUCGGCUCGUAAAGCUCUGUUGUUAGGGAAGAAACAGUACCGAACGAACUAGGUCGGUACCUUGACGGUACCUAAACAGAAAGCCACGGCUAACUACGUG
This 500-nucleotide ribosomal RNA is filed under the name uncultured bacterium. Its description in RNAcentral is "partial 16S ribosomal RNA". It matches the Rfam family "Bacterial small subunit ribosomal RNA", at positions 28 to 507 of the family's 1533-position model. The record is from RNAcentral.